UGCGAAUGCUGACAUGAGUAACGUUAAAGCAGGUGAAAAGCCUGCUCGCCGUAAGCCCAAGGAUUCCUGCUCUACGUUCAUCGGAGCAGGGUGAGUCGGCUCCUAAGGUCAGGCCGAAAGGCGUAGCCGAUGGGAAUCAGGUUAAUAUUCCUGAACCUGCGUCAGAUGCGAUGGGGGGACGGAGCAUGAAAGAUCAUCCGGGUGUUGGAUGUCCCGGUUGACGAGCGUAGGAGGUCUGCAGGCAAAUCCGCAGACGCAUCUCCAAGGCGAAGUCACGUGCCGCCACGGCGGCGAAGUGAUCGGAAGUGCUUCCAAGAAAAGCCUCUAAGCACCAGUCUGACGCGGACCGUACCGCAAACCGACACUGGUGGGCGAGCUGAAUAUGCUCAGGCGCUUGAGAGAACUCGGGAGAAGGAACUCGGCAAAUUGACACCGUAACUUCGGAAGAAGGUGUGCCGUAGUACCGUGAGAGGAGAGACACCUUGAGCGGGAAUCGGUCUCAGAGAAUAGGUGGCUGCGACUGUUUAUUAAAAACACAGCACUCUGCAAAGUCGAAAGACGACGUAUAGGGUGUGAUGCCUGCCCGGUGCUGGAAGAUUAAUUGAUGGGGUGAGAGCCCUUGAUCGAAGUCCCAGUAAACGGCGGCCGUAACUAUAACGGUCCUAAGGUAGCGAAAUUCCUUGUCGGGUAAGUUCCGACCUGCACGAAUGGCAUAACGAUGGCCACACUGUCUCCUCCCGAGACUCAGUGAAGUUGAAAUGUUUGUGAUGAUGCAAUCUACCCGCGGCUAGACGGAAAGACCCCAUGAACCUUUACUGCAGCUUUGCAUUGAACUGUGAACCGAUUUGUGUAGGAUAGGUGGGAGGCAGAGAAGAGGCCACGCCAGUGGUCUUGGAGCCGACCUUGAAAUACCACCCUGAUUUGUUUGCGGUUCUAACCACGGACAGUGAUCCUGUCUUGGGACCGUGCAUGGUAGGCAGUUUGACUGGGGCGGUCUCCUCCUAAAGGGUAACGGAGGAGUACGAAGGUACGCUAGGUACGGUCGGAAAUCGUGCUGAUAGUGCAAUGGCAAAAGCGUGCUUGACUGCGAGAGCAACAACUCGAGCAGAUGCGAAAGCAGGUCAUAGUGAUCCGGUGGCUCUGAAUGGAAGGGCCAUCGCUCAACGGAUAAAAGGUACUCUGGGGAUAACAGGCUGAUACCGCCCAAGAGUUCAUAUCGACGGCGGUGUUUGGCACCUCGAUGUCGGCUCAUCGCAUCCUGGGGCUGUAGUCGGUCCCAAGGGUAUGGCUGUUCGCCAUUUAAAGAGGUACGUGAGCUGGGUUUAAAACGUCGUGAGACAGUUUGGUCCCUAUCUGCCGUGGGCGUUGGAAGAUUGACGGGGGCUGCUCCUAGUACGAGAGGACCGGAGUGGACGCACCUCUGGUGUACCGGUUGUCACGCCAGUGGCAUUGCCGGGUAGCUAAGUGCGGAAGAGAUAACCGCUGAAAGCAUCUAAGCGGGAAACUUGCCUGAAGAUGAGUCUUCCCGGAGGUAAAACCUCCCUCAAGAGUCGUCCGAGACCAGGACGUCGAUAGGUCAGGUGUGUAAGCGCUGUGAGGCGUUGAGCUAACUGAUACUAAUUGCUCGUGAGGCUUGAUCCU
Molecule: ribosomal RNA, 1641 nt
Filed under: Acinetobacter sp. N54.MGS-139
Lineage: Bacteria; Pseudomonadati; Pseudomonadota; Gammaproteobacteria; Moraxellales; Moraxellaceae
Description: bacterial LSU rRNA
Rfam family: Bacterial large subunit ribosomal RNA
Source: RNAcentral